This 449-nucleotide ribosomal RNA is filed under the name uncultured Eubacteriales bacterium. Its description in RNAcentral is "bacterial SSU rRNA". It matches the Rfam family "Bacterial small subunit ribosomal RNA", at positions 936 to 1382 of the family's 1533-position model. Lineage: Bacteria; Bacillati; Bacillota; Clostridia; Eubacteriales. The record is from RNAcentral.
AGCAUGUGGUUUAAUUCGAAGCAACGCGAAGAACCUUACCAGGGCUUGACAUGCCGCUGACCGGUGCAGAGAUGCAUCUUUAUCCUUCGGGGUACAGCGGACACAGGUGGUGCAUGGUUGUCGUCAGCUCGUGUCGUGAGAUGUUGGGUUAAGUCCCGCAACGAGCGCAACCCUUGUCUUUAGUUGCCAUCAUUAAGUUGGGCACUCUAAAGAGACUGCCGAUGACAAAUCGGAGGAAGGUGGGGAUGACGUCAAAUCAUCAUGCCCUUUAUGUACUGGGCUACACACGUGCUACAAUGGUCGGUACAACGAGAAGCAAGCCAGCGAUGGCAAGCAAAUCUCUAAAAGCCGAUCCCAGUUCGGAUUGCAGGCUGCAACUCGCCUGCAUGGAGUCGGAGUUGCUAGUAAUCGCGGAUCAGAAUGCCGCGGUGAAUGCGUUCCCGGGUCUU